GUCCUGGAACUAGCUCUUGUAGACCAGGCUGGCCUCGAACUCACAGAGAUCCACCUGCCUCUGCCUCCCCAGUGCUGGGAUUAAAGGCUUGCGCCACCAGCACCCAGCGGUGUUUGUGCUUCUUAGUGUUCUUUUCACUAGAUGGAUGAUUCCAGCUUCUCCACUCUUCUCGCCACCCUAAACUUGUACCCUGCUCACCUUUCUUAUCAUACUUACCCCGGUCUUCUUUUUUCUCCCUUCACCACACCCCCCAGGCAGAUAGCACCGUGAAAACAGAGAGCUGGCUCAUUACGUCCUGGGGUCUCUGCUGACACAGUCCCCAACAUACAGGAGAGAGCCCUGUCACCGGAACUACCAGAGCUGUGUCCUCACUGAGCUCCAGAGUCUUCUCCUGUAGCCUGAACUGGAACCUUCUGGAAAAUCCAUGCCAUGGUCCUCCCCUCCCCACUUUUCUAUUCUGACAGCAGGAAACCGAUGUUCAUUUGUGCGCCUAUUUGCAUGUCAUCUGCAUAUGCAAUAACAUUUACAUUUCAUCAACAUAUGUCACCCAAAGCCUUGAACAGGCAGAGAAGCUAGAAAGGAUUAUAGGCCUUGUUCUAGAUCUUUGUUUAAAGGGUGAGAAGAAAGGGCUCCUCUGCUCCUGGAAAGUUCCCUCCCCAGCAGGGCACAUGGACUUAACGACCCAAACAAGAAGUGUCUGUCUGGGUCCAGCUCUGGGUACCUCCAGCCCAGAUGUUUCUAACCUCUCUAGCUUUGAUCUUGGCCCACAGUUAGGUCUGGAGGAGCAAGGAUCUGGGACCCUUCAUCUAAGUUGAGCAUUUGUCAUGCAAAUGACCCUGUUAUACCCUCAGUCAACCCUGACUGAGAACCCUACACUCUCUGCUUGCUGCUAUUCCCCACGGGCUUCUGACAUCUGGUUAGUGGGGGAAGGAUGGGAUGGAGAUCUUAUUAAAGAUACCACCCAAAGCUUUCUUCUGUAGACAGGCAGGGAUAGUCAUUGAUUGUGUGGUCUGGGAGUCAGAGCUCUGCACAAAGGAAUCCGGGGAUUCCAGCCCGGGUCAGGGCUUCUGAUACGCUGAGAGUGUUUGCCAAGGCUGUCAUCUCCAAAGAGUGGGUUCCAUCACUACUGGAACGGUAACAGCAGCGGGUGAUGGGCCCUCGGCAAAUGCUUCGGCACCUUGUUCCACGUGAUACUUCUAAUCCACGCCAGAGAAGCAACUCCACCCACCCCCAAAUAGUAGCACAGGCCUGUAAUUCCAGUCUUCUGGGGCUGCAGCAGACAAGUCAUGAAUUCAAGGCCAGCCUGAGCUAUAGCGUGAGAACAGCGGGACAGGAAGGAAGGAAGAGAGAGAGAGAGAGAGAGAGAGAGAGAGAGAGAGAGAGAGAGAGAGAAACAAAGAGAGAAAGAUCAAUGGGAAACUUACCAUAGAUUCCUAAGUCAAUAGGUGGAAGACCAAGGACUCAGCCUUGUGGCUUCAGAUCCUACAUACACACCAAUUGUACAGCUGGGACUGGGCCCACCAGAAGCAUUGUCCCUGCCAAGGGAGCGUGCCUAAGUGCUAGAGGGGGUGCAGAGCUGGUUUAGAAACCACAUGCCACCUCAUCUACGGGCGGGUCACUCAGCAUCACACACACACCAAAAUGACACAGAAGCACUGUGGUCUACAGGGGUUAGCAACUGGACUCUGAGUUAGAAUUCUGGCUGCUUUUUUGUUUGGGGUUCUGGUUUGUUGAUUUGAUCUCCUUGAGGUAGUGUCUUGCUCUGUCAUCCUGAUUGACUUGGGCUCACUUAUGUAGAGACUAUAAGGCAGGUCUUACGCUUUGGAGAUCCCCCUGCUGUAGUCACCCAAGUGCUGAGAUCACAGGUAAGGGCACCACAGCCAACUACAAUUCUGAGUUUGAAUCCUGCCCCCAUUGACUAUCUUGGAGGCUUUUGGAAAUACAAUUUAACCCUUUCCAAACCUCAGCUUCCUCUUUGUGAAGCGGGACUGGUGCUCACCCCACAGGACUGGGGUAGGGGCAGAAGGAGGCUGUGGGAGGUACGGAGAAAACUUAGUUACCAUUGCCUCUUCUAGGUCUGCCAUUUCCCACAAGUGUUUGCUCCCUUUUCCUUUCCAGCCCCCUUACUAUAGGAUGAGGCCCCUCCUGUUGUCUCACAGUUUGGCCAGGGGUGAGAGGUCACAGACUUAGCCUGUCACUCUUACUAGAGCAGAGGAAACCGAGGACAGUGCAGAUAAACUGUCCCAAGUCAUACACUGUAUCAGACAGGCAGAAGGAUGGAGAGAAAGGAGUUCAGGUGAGCAGGCAGAGAGCCCACACUCGCUCUGCUAGUCUCGAGCCGGGUGACCCUAGACAAGUCACUUCCCACCCCAAUGGCUCCUUGCACAUUUCUAAACCCAGAAUUCUAGCCGUUGUCGUCUCACAAGGUGACUCUGAGGACAGACAAAAGACCAGGUGGGCAGUCACUCGGACCCCUGCCCCACUUCCUUCCCCUGGAACCAAUGCAAUGGAACCAGCAGGAGAUCAGCAAGGCUACUCCAGGGUAGACUGGGGCUUAGCUCAGCAGAAAAGCACUUCCCAGCCAGUCCUGGGCGCCCUUCGCAAUGCAACUGGAACAAAAUGACAAGACACAAACAACAGCCAGGUGAAGUGGUGGGAGCCUUGUAAACCCAGCGCUGAGGGACGCCUGAGACAGGAGGGCUUGCCUGAGCUACAGAGAACUGAAGAACAGCCUGGGCCAUACAGUGAAACCCUGUCUCAAAAACCCCAGCUAAAUAAAAAUUUUAGACUACUC
This is a non-coding RNA of Myodes glareolus (Bank vole), 2794 nucleotides long. NCBI's taxonomy places the organism in Eukaryota, Metazoa, Chordata, Mammalia, Rodentia, Cricetidae. The record is from RefSeq and is a predicted model, not a curated record.